UAGUGCGUAUUCAGCCUUCUGGGCGCGUGAUUGGUGUUUGUGCAUUGCCGCAAGGUGUGCCUGGCGCUAUUGUCGCGUGUUCGGUUGGUGCAUUUGCGUACGGAGUGCGCCGGGUUGUGUGGUGUUGUCGGACGAUGCGCGUUUAGAGGACCCGGGCUUCGGCGCUGGGAACCCUGGGCGUGCGGAGUUCGGUUGGCGCUGCGCAGCUUUGUGGAGACGUGGGUUUUUCGCGUGCCGCGGUGUCGACAGGCUCGGUUCGGGUGGUACACAUGUGUGCAGCCCUUAUGGGGUCGGUCGGUGUUGUGGUGUGCUCUGCGUUCUUCCCGGUGUUCAGUCGGUGACCCAUUCGACCCGUCUUGAAACACGGACCAAGGAGUUUAUGGUAUGCGCAAGUCAUUGGGUUUGUCGAAGCCUAAAGGCGUAAUGAAAGUGAGACAUUACUUGUCUGAACGUGACUGGGUGCGGCAUUCGUGCGGCCCAAGCAACGUUGCCCCGUUUCGAGGACUUGUCCUGAUGCGGAGGUUGAGCGUAUGCUAUGAGACCCGAAAGAUGGUGAACUAUGCCUGGAAGCAGGA
This 575-nucleotide ribosomal RNA is filed under the name Bursaphelenchus xylophilus (pine wood nematode). Its description in RNAcentral is "eukaryotic LSU rRNA". It matches the Rfam family "Eukaryotic large subunit ribosomal RNA", at positions 591 to 849 of the family's 3401-position model. Lineage: Eukaryota; Metazoa; Nematoda; Chromadorea; Rhabditida; Aphelenchoididae. The record is from RNAcentral.